GCCGACCUCUUCACAAAAUCACUACCUACCUCGGUAUUCAGAAAACAUGUCCAUAACAUUGGAAUGCGCCAUCAGAAGGAUCUAUGAUUGCUCAUUCGAGGGGGAGCUUACAUAGUUGUACUCUUUUUACCUUACUAUGGUUUUUCCCAUUGGGUUUUCCAUGACUAGGUUUUUAACGAGGCACUACGUAAUACAAGAUGAAUGAUCAAGGGGGAGUGUUAUAAGAUAAACAUUGAAAUGAUCUUCCACUCCUUUACCAACUCAAGCACUAUGAUCAUCUACUCAUCAAGC
Molecule: long non-coding RNA, 291 nt
Filed under: Brassica napus (rape)
Lineage: Eukaryota; Viridiplantae; Streptophyta; Magnoliopsida; Brassicales; Brassicaceae
Description: long non-coding RNA (BNAP_LNC026263)
Source: RNAcentral